AUUGAACGCUGGCGGCAUGCCUUACACAUGCAAGUCGAACGGUAGAGGGGGCAACCCCUUGAGAGUGGCGAACGGGUGAGUAAAGCAUCGGAACGUGCCCAGUAGUGGGGGAUAGCCCGGCGAAAGCCGGAUUAAUACCGCAUACGACCUACGGGUGAAAGGGGGGGAUCGCAAGACCUCUCGCUAUUGGAGCGGCCGAUGUCAGAUUAGGUAGUUGGUGGGGUAAAGGCCUACCAAGCCGACGAUCUGUAGCUGGUCUGAGAGGACGACCAGCCACACUGGGACUGAGACACGGCCCAGACUCCUACGGGAGGCAGCAGUGGGGAAUUUUGGACAAUGGGCGCAAGCCUGAUCCGGCCAUGCCGCGUGCGGG
This 373-nucleotide ribosomal RNA is filed under the name uncultured bacterium. Its description in RNAcentral is "bacterial SSU rRNA". It matches the Rfam family "Bacterial small subunit ribosomal RNA", at positions 29 to 407 of the family's 1533-position model. The record is from RNAcentral.